CUGGGGCGGUCGCCUCCUAAAAGGUAACGGAGGCGCUCAAAGGUUCCCUCAGAAUGGUUGGAAAUCAUUCAUAGAGUGUAAAGGCAUAAGGGAGCUUGACUGCGAGACCUACAAGUCGAGCAGGGUCGAAAGACGGACUUAGUGAUCCGGUGGUUCCGCAUGGAAGGGCCAUCGCUCAACGGAUAAAAGCUACCCCGGGGAUAACAGGCUUAUCUCCCCCAAGAGUUCACAUCGACGGGGAGGUUUGGCACCUCGAUGUCGGCUCAUCGCAUCCUGGGGCUGUAGUCGGUCCCAAGGGUUGGGCUGUUCGCCCAUUAAAGCGGUACGCGAGCUGGGUUCAGAACGUCGUGAGACAGUUCGGUCCCUAUCCGUCGUGGGCGUAGGAAAUUUGAGAGGAGCUGUCCUUAGUACGAGAGGACCGGGAUGGACAUACCUCUGGUGUACCAGUUGUCGUGCCAACGGCAUAGCUGGGUAGCUAUGUGUGGACGGGAUAAGUGCUGAAAGCAUCUAAGCAUGAAGCCCCCCUCAAGAUGAGAUUUCCCAACUUCG
RNAcentral lists this ribosomal RNA (549 nucleotides) under Staphylococcus aureus. Its description in RNAcentral is "partial 23S ribosomal RNA". It matches the Rfam family "Bacterial large subunit ribosomal RNA", at positions 2274 to 2822 of the family's 2925-position model. Lineage: Bacteria; Bacillati; Bacillota; Bacilli; Caryophanales; Staphylococcaceae. The record is from RNAcentral.